GUAUCCUGCGGCUGCAUUCACCAAAAGAACCCUGCGUUCACCAAAAGAACCCAGGUCAAGCCUCCAUAUUUGGGUCACAUGGAAGGCAAAAGUUUUACGUCCUGUUGAUGUACCUUCCCAGGCCUGUUUUUAAAGUUUAGUCCUGUUGACGACUCGUUACCCCGUUUUCUCCUGUUGUUGGGUUUCCGCAAAUAUUGGACCCUUUUAUCCAACUCUACCAUGGGCGACCUACUUGUGAUGUGGACCUGAGCCUCCGCCAUGUAGCAGACAACCCCCCUCAGGUCUUGCGGUGUAUCCUUCCCAAGUGGCGUGGGUGUGAAGAGACACCACAGUUCCCCUGAUGUUCCCUGGGUGACCUACUUGUGAUGUGGACCUGAGCCUCCGCCAUGUAGCAGACAACCCCCCUCAGGUCUUGCGGUGUAUCCUUCCAAAGUGGCGUGGAUGUGAAGAGACACCACAGUUCCCCUGAUGUUCCAUGGGCGACCUACUUGUGUACAAUUCAACUGCAUAUCAAAUAAUUUUAAUAAAAACCACAGAAAACUUCUCUUUUUAAAAAUUUAU
Pseudophryne corroboree (corroboree frog) is the source of this 561-nucleotide long non-coding RNA. RefSeq lists it as uncharacterized. The record is from RefSeq and is a predicted model, not a curated record. NCBI's taxonomy places the organism in Eukaryota, Metazoa, Chordata, Amphibia, Anura, Myobatrachidae. The transcript is spliced from 4 exons.